GCAAGCCCAGUCAAUCAGUGCGAGGCCCGCCGCGAGGGGGUCGGUCGAGGCAGCAGGUCCCCGCGCCGGGCGGCCCGAGGCGGGCAGUGUAGCGGGGGAAGAGGAGAGCGCUAAGUUUAAAAGAGAACAGGGAGGGACGGCUGAGGAGCCGAGGACGCGGUGCGCUCGGCUGGCGCCUCGAGGGAAAGGAAAAAAAUGGAUAAAUCUAGAGGUAUUGAGAGGUUGAGACAUUCAUCAUCUUUGCUGCUGCUUCCAGAAAGAAAGGGAGGCAAAGGAAAGAGGUGAAAUGCUGCACUCCAGCCUUGGUAUCUUGAAACCUGAAGAACGCACCCUGUUUUGACCACUCUGUCAGUUUUCUGUGUUCCUGAAAGCCUUCACUUUUCCAGAAGAAACAGAGCUGCUGAGCAUGAUUUUUUAUGACUCUGAAUAUUUUCCUCGUGAUUCAUGAUGCUUGUCUCAAAUCUUCACUGUGUUCUUGAAUAAAUUGUAUAUUUUUCCCUGAAGAAAA
Phalacrocorax carbo (great cormorant) is the source of this 508-nucleotide non-coding RNA. Lineage: Eukaryota; Metazoa; Chordata; Aves; Suliformes; Phalacrocoracidae. The record is from RefSeq and is a predicted model, not a curated record.